GUUUCCUUUGCAUUCAUCUCUGUGGUUACAGAAGCCACACGAGAUACACGUACAGAAGCCAGACUCGGUGACCCCUACGGGUCUCUUCCAACUCGGGAUAUUCUGAUUCUAUGCACCUCACUUUUCCGGGCACAGUUAACACACGGGGUCACCUCAGUAACGCUUGCUCACCCGAGGUUAUUUUUAAAGAGCGACGCUUGCGCACCCACAACACCCCCGCUCGUCACCUGAGCGCGCCUCCCGUCAGCCAGCCCCGACCGGCCUCCCUCAGCCCCGCACACAGCACAGCAUUAUUCAAGCGAGAAGAGCUGGGCACCCUCAGACGCCCGCCCAGCGCCCUCAGAUCCCGGCAGCCCCUUCCCGCCCCCUCACGAGGAAGCCGCACCCCCGCCCCGACCCCGCGGGAGCCGAGAGCUGCGCGCUCACAAGCGCGGCCCAAAGUCAGGCGCCUGUGCGAGGGUCAGGUAACGGCCUCCCGGCGACGGCCGCCCGCCCGUUACCUCCAUGGCGAAGCCGGCUCGCUGCUAGCGCGGAUGGACCGCGGCGCCCCUGACAGCACCGCUACCCCGCGCCCCCACUUCCGCCUUCGUCAUCCCCGCACGCCGCUAACGCAGCGCGCCCCCCUGCGGCUGACAGCGACCGUCACCGGAGCCCCGCCCCUGGAGCAGCUGAAUUCCAGUUGGGUGAAGAUUUACCUGAGGAAAAGAAACCAGUAUGACACAAGCCUCUGUCACCCUCACCCUGCAGCAGAUGCCUUCAGCAUUUUCUCCUUCUAAUAAACAGAGAGAUUUCGAAAGAGGAGCAAAUAGGUCACCUGUGCAACCUCAUAAUAUGUUAUCUAGCUACUGAGUUAAGCAUAUUUUCCAUUUACUGAUAGCUCUUAUGACCCUGAAUGAGGAUUAGAUUGACAAAGAGCUGACUUGUGUCAUUUCUUGGAGUGACCAAAAAGAAUAGAAAUAUGUCAGAGAGCAGGCAACACCUUUUCCUUGUACUGGUGACAGUGAAAUAACAAGCUAAGUUAAUCAUGAACAAAAGCUACAGAAGUCACAGAAACCUUCCCAGGCUCAUAUUUAAUUUU
This 1078-nucleotide long non-coding RNA is filed under the name Gallus gallus (chicken). RNAcentral's name for it is "long non-coding RNA NONGGAT001133". Lineage: Eukaryota; Metazoa; Chordata; Aves; Galliformes; Phasianidae. The record is from RNAcentral.